CACGUCUGGCAGCGCUUCUCCUUCCUCCGGAUCCUGUCCUGUUUUGGGCAGAAUAAAUACGGAGCAGCCUGUAGUUCGAUGUGCUCUGCGCUCAUCUGCUCCUGACUGAUUUUGUUCGUGGAUUGCUCUGCGUUCCUCCGUCUUCCCUGUCGCCUGGCAGCUGCCCCGGAAGUUGUCGCCGGGGCCGGUUUAGCUCCGGUAAAGUCGCCGCCGGACACCGCGGGUCCCGCAGCGGGCGGGACUAAGACUCCACGGGUGAGCGUUAGUAGAGCAGCCGGGCGUGAAUGAAGCUCCUGGUAGAGGAGGAGCCCAGAAAGAGAUACCAGUCAAAAAUGGAAAUUGAAGACUAUAAUGGGCGAUCUUAUAUGUCAGCUGGCGACUCAUCUCUGGAAAAGGAUUUCUCCGAAGCCUUGAUUGGACCCACUGUAAGCACGCCAAACAGCAGGCACUCAUCCCCAAGACGUUCGCUUAGUGCAAACUCUAUAAAGGUAGAAAUGUACAGUGAUGAUGAGUCUGGGCAUCAUCUCAACCAUGAAGACCGGCUAAGUGAGAAAGAAGAUGGGGCCAUGCCUGACGACUCGCUGGUCGAGCCUCUUGGGUACUGCGAUGGCCCUGGACAAGAUCCCCAUUCUCCAGGAGGCAUCCGCCUACCCAAUGGCAAGCUGAAGUGUGACAUUUGUGGGAUGGUCUGCAUUGGUCCUAAUGUGCUGAUGGUGCAUAAACGAAGCCACACGGCACUCAGCGGGGACUUUAUGUUUGAUGCUGUUUCAGGUGAGCGGCCAUUUCACUGUAACCAGUGUGGUGCCUCCUUUACCCAGAAGGGGAACCUCUUACGUCACAUCAAACUGCACUCGGGUGAGAAGCCUUUCAAGUGCCCCUUCUGUAACUACGCUUGCCGUCGGCGGGAUGCAUUAACAGGUCACCUGCGCACGCACGCUGUCUCCUCCCCCACAGUCGGCAAGCCCUACAAGUGCAACUACUGCGGCCGCAGCUACAAGCAGCAGAACACACUGGAGGAGCACAAGGAGCGCUGCCACAACUACUUGCAGAGCCUCGGCAACGAAGGCCAGCACCUCUCUGCACAAUCAGGUGAGGAGAUACGAGACCUGGAUCUGGGACCAGAUGCCCUGAUGCACCAUUCCUCUGACCUGCCGUCUUUUAUGGAUCGGCUGGCGAGCAACCUCACAAAGCGCAAACGCUGCACACCUCAAAAAUUCCCGGGGGAGAAGCAGAUGCGACUUAGCCUUGCUGAACUUCCAUAUGACAUGAACUCGAGUUUUGAGAAGGACAUAGAGAUGGUUCCUCACCACCCUCUAGACCCUUCAUAUGGAAAUCCAUUAGCUUUUGUUGGCGGUCCAAUGCGAUUGCCACCUACAAACUGCAUCUCCGAAAUAACCCCAGUCAUUAGCUCAGUGUACACCCAACUGCAGCCUAUGUCAGGAAGGCCAGACAUGCCAGGCAACCGAGAAGCAGCAGAGGGCCACGAAGACAUACCAGACGGGACACAGAGUCAUUACAGAGGACGGACUGAGCACGGAGCUUCUCCUACUAAUGGCUGCCAGGACUCAACCACUGACACCGAAAGCAACCAUGAAGAGAGAGGCUCUCAAGCCACCAGCAGCCGGCAGAGUCCGGCAUAUGCCAAAGAGGAUCAAAGGCCACCUGAAUCAGGUGUGGUAAAUCCUUCCCGCUCUGGGCCUGGCACUGCCAAGGAAACCCUGCGGGUACUGGGGGAGGAUGGUGAGCAAGUGAAGGUAUUCAAGUGUGAGCACUGCCGUGUACUUUUCCUAGACCAUGUAAUGUUCACAAUCCACAUGGGAUGCCAUGGCUUUAGAGACCCUUUUGAGUGCAAUAUAUGUGGCUAUCACAGUCAGGACCGGUACGAGUUCUCAUCCCACAUUGUGAGAGGGGAACACAAGGUUUAACAGAAGGGUAGGGGGAAACUGAACUCUACCUCCCCUCUCCAAAAAUGGCUCAGAGACGCAGUCAGACCUUAAGGCUGGUGGAUAUUUACCACCUAAUUUUUCAAGAUUUUUGUGAGUUUGUUUUUUUUUUGUGUUUAUUUUCUUUUCUUUUUUUUUUCCAGUGAGAAUGGGCGGAACAUGGAAAUUUUAAGCACUUUUUAAUUGUUCCUUUUUUAUUGUUCAUGUCAUAAUUUAAUUUAGCACUACUGUAACUUGUUAUAGAAGAAGAAAAAAAUAUUUGUUCUCGGUGACCUACAAAUGCAAAUCUAGUGCUGGAUGUGUCACUGUGAGAAGCAUUAAAUGUGUAGGAGGAGGUUACAGUUACUGAUGGGGAAAGAACAAGGCACUACUGGAGCUUUGGGGAACACAAAUAACAGUUUGGCAAAUGCACUUAAUGCGCCUUGUUGCCUUUUGGGGGUACACUUAGCAUUGCCAAUGAUCAACACACGAGUUAAUGUAACCAGCCAACACCCGGUACCCCCAACUUGUUACAGGUAUUGAGCGUUGUUGUUAGGUUCGCCCUUUUUAUAAUGCUUGGUGUUUUUUUUUAUCACUUUAUGGUCUUCUAUUUUCAGAACUUGGUAAACUCUGAACAGCUUUGUAGACAUAGUGCUUCUCAUAGUAAUGGGCAAGUAUAGCACCUUAAGAAGAUAAGAGAACUCGCCCUCAAACCUCAUUACAGAAAGAAGUCCUUUUUUUUAAUUUUUUUUUUUUUUCUACUCUUUGCACUGACGGACUAUUUAUAGGUUGUUUUGAACAGAUGGAAAGAAAAAUAUUUCAGUUUUAUGGCUCCGUCAUGGAUCAGCAAAAACGCUUCCUUUACGGAUAAUACAACUGGCUGCAUCCAUUAUGAACAGAUCCGGUUGUAUUAUCUCUAAAAUAGCCAUGACGGAUUCGGCACUAAAACCAUUUGUAAGUCUGAGAAAAAACGGAUCCGGCACCAUUGACCUAAAUUAUGUUUCAUGUCGGAUCCGUCUUGCUCCGCAUCCCGUGCCGGACAGAAAAACGCUGCUUGCGAUGGGAACGCAACCAAAUGGAAUGGAGUGCAUUCCGUUCCAUUCAGUUUUGUCCCCGCUGACAAUGAAUACGGACAAAACUGAAGCGUUUUCCUCUGGUAUUGAGAUCCUAUGACGGAAAUCAAUAGCAGAAAGGAAAGCGCUAAUGUGAAAGUAGCCUAAGUUGUCCGAUCUUUCCUAUUUGAGUUGUACAUUAGCCUUCUAGUUUAUCUACCUGUAUGCUUUCCUUGGUGUAUUUAUUUUGUUCCUUUCCUGUGUAGCUGAGAAGGUUUUGCUUUUUUAUUAUGACCCUUUAUUCACUUCUUCUGGUUUAUUUUCUUGACCACCAUGUUUGUAGGUAAUACACUUUAUAGCUUCCCUUUACAGCAGUACAGUGUCCUCUACUUGUGGAAGGAGCUUGGGUCGACCUCUCAGUAAGUUAGCUCGCCAUCCGGUACGUGUGUCCUGAUAGCUUUAAAGCCUGCACAGAUAACAUGCUUUAUACAUUAAUGAGUAAAACUGUUGUGAAAUAUAUAACUGUUAUUAAACUUUUUGGUUUCCCUAAUAAAUCUAUAUUUUGUAGUGACAUCCUUCACUGUAUUUAUCACGGCCAUGGCCUAGCCUAGGAGAAAGGUUUCUAUGGUUUGUCUUGCCAUUGCCCUUCUUUUAGUAUUUUGUAUCUUGCAUAAUGUUGCCUGUAUCUUGUGUAUUUUAUACUUUAUGAUGAUACAUGCUGUUUCCUAAACUCCAGCAGCUAAGUGAUCUCUAUGGUGCAAACAACAAAUCCCUGUCGAGGAGAAAUCUAUUCCUUUCUUUGGGUUCAUUCCCAGACUUAAAACCAAAGGCUGUUUUUAACAUUUUUUUAAUAAACGAAGCAACACAGAACACCUCUGAAAUGAUUGUUUUAAUCUAAUCUUAUCUGUUAGUGGAAGUAGGUUGUUCUGUAUAUUUCUUCUGUUACGUAUCUGAACUAAUGCAAUGUGAAGUAUAUGAUUAUUUUAAGGGGAAGGUUUUCAAUGAGAAACUUAUUGGAUUGCACUUAUUCUAACCUGAAAAACCCACCGACAAUGCCCGAGCCCCUCAUACAGAGAUGACUUACUUGGUCCCCGAUGCCUGUGUCCUUCCGCAUC
Molecule: RNA transcript, 4089 nt
Organism: Bufo bufo (common toad)
Lineage: Eukaryota; Metazoa; Chordata; Amphibia; Anura; Bufonidae
Gene: IKZF4
Gene name: IKAROS family zinc finger 4
Exons: 9
Source: RefSeq, a predicted model, not a curated record